RNAcentral lists this Y RNA (92 nucleotides) under Microcebus murinus (gray mouse lemur). Its description in RNAcentral is "Y RNA (ENSMICG00000023087.3)". It matches the Rfam family "Y RNA". Rfam says of the family: Y RNAs are components of the Ro ribonucleoprotein particle (Ro RNP), in association with Ro60 and La proteins. The Y RNAs and Ro60 and La proteins are well conserved, but the function of the Ro RNP is not known. The record is from Rfam by way of RNAcentral. Lineage: Eukaryota; Metazoa; Chordata; Mammalia; Primates; Cheirogaleidae.
GGCUGGUCCCAGUGCAGUGAUAUUUGGUCACAACUGGUUACAGAUUCCUUUGUUCCUUUUCCACUCCCACUGCUUCACUUGACUAGCCUUAA